GCUGGGUACAGUGGCACAUGCCUGUGAUCCCAGUGGCUUGGGAGGCUGAGGCAGGAGGAUCAUGAGUUCAAAGCCAGCCUCAGCAACUUAGUGAGGCCUUAAGCAACUGAGUGAAACCCUGUCUCUG
RNAcentral lists this small RNA (127 nucleotides) under Marmota monax (woodchuck). The record is from RNAcentral. Lineage: Eukaryota; Metazoa; Chordata; Mammalia; Rodentia; Sciuridae.